Molecule: ribosomal RNA, 440 nt
Filed under: uncultured bacterium
Lineage: Bacteria
Description: partial 16S ribosomal RNA
Rfam family: Bacterial small subunit ribosomal RNA
Source: RNAcentral
CCUACGGGAGGCUGCAGUGGGGAAUAUUGCACAAUGGGGGAGACCCUGAUGCAGCGACGCCGCGUGAGUGAAGAAGUAUCUCGGUACGUAAAGCUCUAUCAGCAGGGAAGAAAAUGACGGUACCUGACUAUGAAGCCGCGGCUAACUACGUGCCAGCAGCCGCGGUACUACGUAGGGGGCAAGCGUUAUCCGGAUUUACUGGGUGUUAAGGGAGCGUAGACGGCAGCACAAGUCUGGAGUGAAAUCCCCGGGGCUAACCCCGGAACUGCUUUUGAAACUGUGUGGCUUGAGUGCAGGAGGGGUAAGCGGAAUGCGUAGUGUAGCGGUGAAAUGCGUAGAUAUUAGGAGGAACACCGGUGGCGAAGGCGGCAUACUGGACUGUAACUGACGUUGAGGCUCGAAAGCGUGGGUAGCAAACAGGAUUAGAUACCCGUGUAGUC